UGGGGAAUUUUGGACAAUGGGCGAAAGCCUGAUCCAGCAAUGCCGCGUGUGUGAAGAAGGCCUUCGGGUUGUAAAGCACUUUUGUCCGGAAAGAAAUCCUUGGCUCUAAUACAGUCGGGGGAUGACGGUACCGGAAGAACAAGCACCGGCUAACUACGUGCCAGCAGCCGCGGUAAUACGUAGGGUGCAAGCGUUAAUCGGAAUUACUGGGCGUAAAGCGUGCGCAGGCGGUUUGCUAAGACCGAUGUGAAAUCCCCGGGCUCAACCUGGGAACUGCAUUGGUGACUGGCAGGCUAGAGUAUGGCAGAGGGGGGUAGAAUUCCACGUGUAGCAGUGAAAUGCGUAGAGAUGUGGAGGAAUACCGAUGGCGAAGGCAGCCCCCUGGGCCAAUACUGACGCUCAUGCACGAAAGCGUGGGGAGCAAACAGGAUUAGAUACCCUGGUAGUCCACGCCCUAAACGAUGUCAACUAGUUGUGGGGAUUCAUUUCCUAGUAACGUAGCUAACGCGUGAAGUUGACCGCCUGGGGAGUACGGUCGCAAGAUUAAAACUCAAAGGAAUUGACGGGGUCAUAGCUGUUUCCU
RNAcentral lists this ribosomal RNA (583 nucleotides) under uncultured bacterium. RNAcentral's name for it is "partial 16S ribosomal RNA". It matches the Rfam family "Bacterial small subunit ribosomal RNA", at positions 355 to 1375 of the family's 1533-position model. The record is from RNAcentral.